This 468-nucleotide ribosomal RNA is filed under the name uncultured bacterium. Its description in RNAcentral is "partial 16S ribosomal RNA". It matches the Rfam family "Bacterial small subunit ribosomal RNA", at positions 28 to 507 of the family's 1533-position model. The record is from RNAcentral.
GACGAACGCUGGCGGCGUGCUUAACACAUGCAAGUCGAACGGAAAGGCCCUGCUUUUGUGGGGUGCUCGAGUGGCGAACGGGUGAGUAACACGUGAGUAACCUGCCCUUGACUUUGGGAUAACUUCAGGAAACUGGGGCUAAUACCGGAUAGGAGCUCCUGCUGCAUGGUGGGGGUUGGAAAGUUUCGGCGGUUGGGGAUGGACUCGCGGCUUAUCAGCUUGUUGGUGGGGUAGUGGCUUACCAAGGCUUUGACGGGUAGCCGGCCUGAGAGGGUGACCGGCCACAUUGGGACUGAGAUACGGCCCAGACUCCUACGGGAGGCAGCAGUGGGGAGUAUUGCACAAUGGGCGGAAGCCUGAUGCAGCAACGCCGCGUGCGGGAUGACGGCCUUCGGGUUGUAAACCGCUUUCGCCUGUGACGAAGCGUGAGUGACGGUAAUGGGUAAAGAAGCACCGGCUAGCUACGUG